UUCCCGUAACUCCCCAGAUUAUUUAGCACACAAAUCAACUGGAUCGCAUCUGCAUCGGCCUGGUUCGCCGCCGCCGGCAAGAGCACAAGGCUGCACGGCUACAUCUCGCGGGGAAAUACGGAGGUCCCUUUGCUGAUUCGCCUCCGGAUCUCAAGAUCCCCAAACUCCUCGGUGGCACCAAUUCCCAGAAAGAGCGGUGAGAAUGUGGAUGAAAAUUCGAGAAGAGUCCAAAAAACAAAUGUCUCAAAACAAGACUCCAAGACAUGUGUCCUCAAAGAAGAGAUGUCGUCCGUCGGAACAGAUUGAGAAGAUCAGUGGUUGAGACUGAGUUGAUAUUGAUGCUUUGUCUAACGAUGGAGUGAAGAUAGAACAUAUGUAGGAUUGGUGUGAGAAAUAUCGAAGGGUGGAUUGGAGAAACCAUGAUUGUUGUUUCUGCAUAGU
Long non-coding RNA from Lolium rigidum, 441 nucleotides. RefSeq lists it as uncharacterized. The transcript is spliced from 3 exons. The record is from RefSeq and is a predicted model, not a curated record. NCBI's taxonomy places the organism in Eukaryota, Viridiplantae, Streptophyta, Magnoliopsida, Poales, Poaceae.